GCUUUUGCGCAGAGGCGAUAUCGUCACCGAUUAAGUUCUAUGUUGCUGAGGUGCGAUUAUUGCUAGUUCAAAACUUUAAACUUUUUAUAGAGUAAAUUUGUUAUUUUAAAUAUAUUUAAAAGACUGUUACUGACUGU
Molecule: small nuclear RNA, 137 nt
Organism: Teleopsis dalmanni
Lineage: Eukaryota; Metazoa; Arthropoda; Insecta; Diptera; Diopsidae
Product: U4 spliceosomal RNA
Exons: 1
Source: RefSeq, a predicted model, not a curated record